RNAcentral lists this ribosomal RNA (236 nucleotides) under uncultured bacterium. RNAcentral describes it as "partial 16S ribosomal RNA". It matches the Rfam family "Bacterial small subunit ribosomal RNA", at positions 100 to 334 of the family's 1533-position model. The record is from RNAcentral.
CGGCACGGGUGAGUAACACGUAUCCAACCUGCCGUCUACUCUUGGACAGCCUUCUGAAAGGAAGAUUAAUACAAGAUGGCAUCAUGAGUUCACAUGUUCACAUGAUUAAAGGUAUUCCGGUAGACGGUGGGGAUGCGUUCCAUUAGAUAGUAGGCGGGGUAACGGCCCACCUAGUCUUCGAUGGAUAGGGGUUCUGAGAGGAAGGUCCCCCACAUUGGAACUGAGACACGGUCCAA